Molecule: long non-coding RNA, 149 nt
Organism: Sander lucioperca (pikeperch)
Lineage: Eukaryota; Metazoa; Chordata; Actinopteri; Perciformes; Percidae
Exons: 3
Source: RefSeq, a predicted model, not a curated record
AGUGUGAAAGUUGAGCAGAAUAUUUGUGUCUGAGUUCAGUUCUGUAACAUCCUCUGAACAAACUGAUUAACAAGAUGAGGAAACAUCAUGUUUAACAGCUAGAUAUGGAUAUUUAUUAAUGUCAGUGAUGUGUUACUGUCAGCAUCACA